Molecule: long non-coding RNA, 7619 nt
Filed under: Triticum aestivum (bread wheat)
Lineage: Eukaryota; Viridiplantae; Streptophyta; Magnoliopsida; Poales; Poaceae
Description: long non-coding RNA (TAES_LNC021174)
Source: RNAcentral
AAGUAGAUGAGUUGCUUAGAUCUGCAUGGCUGAAGAAAAAAGAGGUUCAGUCAAAGAACUUAAGGAGAAAGAAAAAUUGGCUUGAUAAGUUACUCAAGGGGAAGCACAGAGUAACUAAAGGACCAACAAAACAGGGAGAAAAGGUAAGUUGCAAUUGGUACAUGAUAUGUUGUUAUUGCUCAUUUGUUAACUAAUUACAUUGAUUUUUGUUCUCGUCCACAAGGGAUGAAGGAUGGUGUGCAACAAAAGCAAAAAGAUUGUGUGCAGCCUCAAGUAGAAGCGGAGAAAUAUGACAACAACAAAGAAGUAAAUUUGGUGCUUCAACAGUGCAAUAAUAUUAUGAGUUUCACCCAGCUCUUGACCGCUGACCAUGAUAAUCUGUUCUAGCAUGGAAGCUCCUUAGAUAAUAUUUUGUACAUGGUGGUGAUGAUGAUGAUUAUCUGUUCUAGCAUGGAACUGGUUAGAUAGUAUUUUGGACAUGGUUAACUAUAGUAAUUUUUACAUGGUUGUAUUGUUAAAUUACUGCGUUUUUUGAUGGUAUAUGACUGUUGUUUGCAUACAGCUUUUUGUUUUUUUUGUAUAGCUAAGUUUGAAAUUUAAUUUAUGCAAAUUCGAUAAAAAAAAUUGCUGCUGUUUUGUACUGUAUAAUGACUGAAAAGUUGGUGAUUCUAUUGAACAAACUAUGAAAAAAGUAGUUUCAUGCAUUUCGCCUAUGUAGUCUGAUCGCCUGGGGAUUUUUUUUGCCUUGGAUCACUGUGGAACAUUGGAUGGAGAUUGGAGGGCAGAUGGGAGGCUGCAUGUUGCAGCGUGACAUGUUUUAGGCAUGUCACCUGAUCCUAGUCCCUUUGGUUGAUAUGCACGAAGGUACCGAGUCCGUCAAGGAAUCCAAAUUAGAUGUGCUUCAAAGUCAACUUGACAAGUUCAAAAUGAAGGAUGGUGAAGGGGUCGUUGAAAAGUAUUUUAGGCUUGCUCUCAUCACAAAUGAGAUUGCCGGCUUAGGAACUAAAGAGAUGACUGACAUAUUCAUCAUCAAGAAGAUCCUAAGAGCCUUGGAUGGAAAAUAUGAUACCAUGUGCACCUUGAUCCAAAUGAUGCCCAAGUACCAAGAUCUCAAGGCAACAGAGGUCAUUGGUAGAAUUGUUGCUCAUGAGAUGUCACUCAAGGAUAAGGAAGAGCUCCACAACAAGUCUAGUGGUGCUUACAAAGCCUCAUGUGAUGCUCCUACAACAUCAAGUGAGAAACAAGCCUUCAAUGAAGAAUUGAGCCUAAUGGUGAAGAACUUCAACAAGUUCUACAAGAGUAGAAGCAAAGAGAGAAGUUCCAAGUCAAGGUCCUACAAUGAUAAAAGAUCUUCUAGCCAUGAUCGCAAUUGCUACAAUUGUGGAAGAUCCGAACACUACUCUACUGAGUGUACAACUCCCUACAAAAGAAGAGAAGACUCGCCUAAAAGGAUAAGUAAAAGAGAGGAAUCACCACCAAGAGAGAGAAGGAGUAGAUAUGAUCAUUAUGAACAAAGACCCUCUCGCAGAAGCAAGGAUUCGGAAAGGAAGGACAAGUCAUCAAAGAGCUACACAAGACGAAGACAUCAAGCUCAUGUUGGUGAAUGGGUAUCCGGUUCCGACUCCAACAACUACUCCGAGAGAGAAGUUAUCACUCCAACUCCGAAUAUACUCAAGAUGAAGGUGUUGCCGGUAUUGCACUUGUGUCAUCCAACUCCUACGACAUAUUCGACUCACCAAAUGAAGGGAUUGGAAGAUGCUUCAUGGCUAAAGGCCCCAAGGUAUCACACCUCGAGUAUGUUGAUUUCAAUAGUUAGGAAGAUGAUUUGCUAGGUGAUGAUGAUUUACUUGUUGACAACUCUAGUGAUGAAAUCUAUGAUGAAAUUGCUAUUAAUCAUGCUAAUCAAGAUGAAACCAAUGACAAUGAUAAGAAGGAGAUUGAGCGUCUAACUAAAGAACUAAACACUCUUAAGUUAGCUCAUGAAACUACCUUAGAGGAUCAUCGAGAGCUUUUAAAGACUCAUGAGAAGCUACGCUUUGGAAAGCUCAAUCUAGAGCAAGAGCAUGGGUUCUUAAAAGCAAUCAAUGAUGAUCAUCAUAAGAAAAGUUCUUCUUACAUUGCCAAGCAUUUACUCCUGUCUACUUACAUGCCACAAGUAAAAUCUAGCAACAAGAACAAGAAAGAUUCUUCUUCUAGUAGUAACAAUAAUCAUGUUAAAUCCAAUAUUGUUGCUUCUAGUAGUUCUCUUGAUUCCAUUAAUGAUUCUCUUAGCCAUGUUACACUUGAGCAAGAAAAUAGCUUAUUGAAGGGAAUUAUAGAGAAAGGUGUUUACAGGAGCCUUGUCGGAAGUAAGCAAUUUGAGGAAAUUGUAUGCAGGAAAGGAAGGCACCAAAAGAAUCGAGGUGUUGAUUUUGAACGCAAGAUGAAUGCCAAUGGUGUUGAGUGGGAAGAAGAUCAAUACCCCAAGACGAAGUUUGUUCCUCAACAAGAGAAGUAUGAUCCCACUUAUUCAAGGGAACACAAGCUCAAGAUGAUCUUCCACCACAAUACCACAAGCUAAAAGGCAAGGACAAGCUUCAAGAAGAGAUUGAUUCAUUUGAAGAAGCUCCAAAGGCCUUGGUCAAGUGGGUUCCCAAGACUACAUCAAGUUCUACUUCAUCAAGUACGACUAUAACUCCAAGGAUUCCCAUCAAGAUGAUGUGGAUCACAAAGAAGAAGAACUAGAGAGUUCUUGAGGGUGACUCCACCAACAUACUUCACUCAUAUUGAUUUUGGCAAGGACAAGUACAAUCAACCUUCACAUCUGGCACUAGUUCAAGGAGUCACAAACCCUCUUGUUGGUAAGACAAGGGACAAGGUAACUUAAUGCUUUCAUGGACAACAUCGUAUGUGUAUUUCACUCUAUGUCUAUGGAUAUCCUUGUAUAUUCCUUGUGGGACUAACCCAAGUAGGUAUUGAAAGAGCAACUUGAGUGAAAUAUGUCCUAGAGGCAAUAAUAAAGUUGUUAUUUUAUAUUUCCUUAUAUCAUGAUAAAUGUUUAUUAUUCAUGCUAUAAUUGUAUUAGCCGGAAACUUGAUAUAUGUGUGGAUACAUAGACAAAACACCGUGUCCCUAGUAAGCCUCUACUAGACUAGCUCAUUAAUCAAAGAUGGUUAAGUUUCCUAACCAUAGACACGUGUUGUCAUUUGAUAAACGGGAUCACAUCACUAGGAGAAUGAUGUGAUGGACAAGACCCAUCCGUUAGCUUAGCAUUAUGAUCGUUCAGUUUUAUUGCUAUUGCUUUCGUCAUGACUUAUACAUAUUCCUUUGACUAUGAGAUUAUGCAACUCCCGGAUACCGGAGGAAUACCUUGUGUGCUAUCAAUCUUCACAACGUAACUGGGUGAUUAUAAAGAUGCUCUACAGGUAUCUCCAAAGGUAUUUGUUGGGUUGGCAUAGAUCAAGAUUAGUAUUAGUCACUCAGAGUAUCGGAGAGGUAUCUCUGGGCCCUCUCGGUAAUGCAAAUCAUAAUAAACCUUGCAAGCAAUGUGACUAAUGAGUUAGUUGCGGGAUGAGGCAUUACGGAACGAGUAAAGAGACUUGCCGGUAACGAGAUUGAGCUUGGUAUGAAGAUACCGAUGAUCGAAGCUCGGGCAAGUAACAUACCGAUGACAAAGGGAAUAACGUAUGGUGUCAUUACGGUUUGACCGAUAAAGAUCUUCGUAGAAUAUGUAGGAACCAAUAUAAGCAUCCAGGUUCCGCUGUUGGUUAUUUACCGGAGAGGUGUCUCAGUCUUGUCUACAUAGUUCUCGAACCCGUAGGGUCCGCACGCUUAACGUUCAAUGACGAUUUUGUAUUAUAUGAGUUAUGUGAUUUGGUGACUGAAUGUUGUUCGGAGUCCCGGAUGAGAUCACGAACAUGACAAGGAGUCUCGAAAUGGUCGAGAGGUAAACAUUCAUAUAUAGGACGAUAGUAUUCGGACACCAAAAGUGUUCUUGGGGUACUGAGUACGUAUCGGGUCACCGGAAGGGGUUGCGGGCGACCCCUAAUACGUCCAUUUUGCAUCAUGUUUUCUUAUUGUUAUUUAUGAUGUUUUUAUCCAUAAUAAUGCUUUUUGGAGUAAUUCUAAUGCCUUUCUCCUAAUAAUUUGCGAGGUACACACCAAGAGGGAGAAUUCCGGCAGCUGGAAAUCUGGACCUGGAAAAGCUACGUCAGGCUACAUAUUCUGCACAACUCCAAACAAGUUGAAACUUGACGGAGAUUUGUUAUGGAAUAUUUAAGAAGUAUUGGAGCAAAUAACUACUAUAGGGGGCCCACCGGGUGGGCACAACCCACCUGGGUGCACCAAAGCCUAGGCGCACCCUGGUGGGUUGUGCUCACCCAGGCCCACCUCCGGUGCCCAUCUUUCCGUAUAUAAGUCAUUUUGACCUAGAAAAAAAUGAGGAGAGGAAUUUCGGGAUGAAGCACCGCCGCUCGAAGUGGAACUUGGGUAGGAGCACUUUUGCCCUUCGGCAGAGCGAUUCCGCCGGGAGAACUUCCCUCCCGGAGUGGGAAAUCAUCGUCAUCAUCAUCACCAACAACUCUCCCAUCUUGGGGAGGGUAAUCUCCAUCAACAUCUUCAACAGCACCAUCUCAUCUCAAACCCUAGUUCAUCUCUUGUGUUCAAUCUUGUUACUGGAACUAUAGAUUGGUACUUGUGGGUGACUAGUAGUGUUCAUUACAUCUUGUAGUUGAUUACUAUAUGGUUUAUUUGGUGGAAGAUUAUAUGUUCAGAUCCAAUAUGCUAUUUAAUACCCAUCUGAUCUUGAGCAUGAUUAUCAUUUGUGAGUAGUUACUUUUGUUUCUUGAGGUCACAGGAGAAAUCAUGUUGCAAGUAAUCAUGUGAACUCGAUAUGUAUUUGACUGAAGCCUUGGUGUAGCGUCCACUGUAAUUAAAUCUAUCCCUCGGUCUCUUUAUUUGUCAAGGAAAAAAAUGUGAUAUCUGUUUAGCAACGCCACAACAAAAGUUUAAGGAUGGAUAAACUCUGGAUCCAUCAUUGCACCUAUGUAAACUAGAUGGCAUACUGAAUCAUCAUAUUUAGUGUGAGUGUGAUUAAUUUAUCUUUUAUAUAUGAGUUGUUGUACCAUCCUGACAUGUAUAUACAUAUAUGUCUUGACAUGUUGUACCAUCCUUGCUACCGGAACCAAGAAGAUUGCAGUCCACUAAUUUAUAUACUUUGUUUUUGUUUGGCAGAAUUGAAUGUUGUGCAAAGGCAGAAAUUGGAAAGAGGACACCCAAAGUUGGUAUGAGGUUCAGAGAUUCGGAAGAGGAUUGGGAGUUUUGGGUAGAUUAUGGGGGCCACAUCGGCUUUGAUGUGAGGAAAAGAUCCACAAUCAAAAGCAGAUGUGAUGGUGUGAUUACUUCACGCUGGUUUGUUUGUUCCAAUGAAGGCCAUCAAAGGAAAAACCAAACAGAUCAUGAGCCAAAGCGUAUUAGAGCAUAAACAAGAACCAAUUGUAAGGCUCAUGUGAUUGUUAGAUAUGAUCGAGUUGCCAACAAUUUUGAAGUCACCAAAGUUGAUUUGGAGCACAAUCACCGCCUUCAAUUGCCACAAACCUGCCACUUGUUAGCAUCACAAAGGAAGAUUCCAGAAGUGCAAGCUUUCGAGAUAGAAACAGCCGAUGAUUUUGGAAUUAUGCCAAAAGCUUCACAUGAGUAUGCUUGUCGUCUAGUUGGUAGCCCUAAACAACCUUGGUUACACUUUCCAUGACUGAAAGAACCAUUUGCGAAGUAAGCAGCAGCGGGAGUUGGCUUCUGGACAGGCUGGAAGUAUGUUGAAUUAUUUUUGUGACAAGCAGGCUAAGAAUGCAGCAUUCCAAUACCAUUUGCGGUUGGAUAGUGAGGAUCAUAUAGCCAACAUAUUCUGGGUUGAUGCUAAAAUGCUACUUGACUAUGCACACUUUGACGAUGUUUUCACACUUGACACUACAUUUGGCACAAACAAAGAGUAUAGGCCAUUUGGUAUUUUUCUUGGGCUGAACCAGUUCAGAAAAACAACCAUUUUUGGUGUUGCAUUGAUGUUCGAUGAAACACAUGACUCCUUUAUAUGGCUCCUUGAGACUUUUCUAGCCGCACAUAAUGUAAGGCAACCUAGAACUAUCUAUACAGAUCAAGAUGUUGCAAUGGGAAAAGCCAUAGAAAAGGUCUUCACAUAAUCAUAUCAUGGAUUGUGCACCUUUCAUAUAAUGCAAAAUGCUGUCAAACACUUAACUUCUGCGAAGGGCGAAGAAAAAUAUGAAGUGUAAGAGAGAGAUGAAGUGGAGGAUGAAUAAAAAGAGCCUCAUAUUCUUGCAGACUUUGGUACUCGUAUGUAUGGCUAUGAAGACAAGGUAGCAUUUGAAGAAGCGUUUUCCAAUAUGAGGCUCAAAGUGCAUAAGCGAACUUGGUUAGAUAGUAUCUACAAGGUGAAAGAAAAAUGGGUUGAAUGUUAUAUGAGAGAUGUCUUUAGCUUGGGAGUGAGAAGUACACAGUUAAGUGAGAGCUUCAACAAUGCAUUGAAAAAUCAUUUGAAAUCAGAUUUUCAUAUUCUUCGAUUCUUAAUGCAUUUUGAGAGGACAGUGGCAGUAAAAAGAAAAGCUGAAUUAGAAUUUGAAUUCGAUGCAAUAAAGAAUAUAUCAAUAAUUAAGAUGAAGACUCCUAUGUUGGUGGAAGCAAGCGAAGUAUACACUCCGAUUAUUCUUUAGGCUUUCCAAGGUGAGUAUGAAAGAUCAAUGGCUGCAUGUUGUAGAGUAUUGGAUGGAAAUAACAAAUUUGUUGUUGCUAUUGCGAGGUUGCAUGGCAAUUUACAGUUUGAGGAGGAGCGCAUAGUGAUAGGUGAUUCUUUGACCAAAACGGUUUCAUGUAGUUUUGAGAUGUUUAAUAGGACAGGAGUCUUGUGUGCACAUGGUCUAAAAGUGCUUGAUUUGAUGAACAUAAAGACAUUGCCGGCACAUUAUGUCUUGAAGAGGUGGACUAGAGAAGCUCGCAAUGGAAGUAUACAAGAUAGACAAGGAAGGAAUGUGGUAGAAAAUCCAAAAAUGGAAGCUGAACUUCGAUAUAAGGAUUUGUCUCGUAAAUUUCACAAAAUGGCACAAAAAGCAGCCAACUCUCCACAAUGUUGUAUUCUAUUGGAUAAAGCACUUGAUUCCGUUGCUCCGCAUAUACAUGAUUUACUCAAUGCAUCCACUAGUGCCAUGAAUGAACUAUGUAAAGAUAAAGAGAAUGUUGACCCAAAUGUGCAGCAAGUAGAUGAGUUGCUUAGAUCUGCAUGGCUGAAGAAAAAAGAGGUUCAGUCAAAGAACUUAAGGAGAAAGAAAAAUUGGCUUGAUAAGUUACUCAAGGGGAAGCACAGAGUAACUAAAGGACCAACAAAACAGGGAGAAAAGGUAAGUUGCAAUUGGUACAUGAUAUGUUGUUAUUGCUCAUUUGUUAACUAAUUACAUUGAUUUUUGUUCUCGGCCACAAAGGAUGAAGGAUGGUGUGCAACAAAAGAAAAAAGAUUGUGUGCAGCCUCAAGUAGAAGCGGAGAAGUAUGACAACAACAAAGAAGUAAAUUUGGUGCUUCAAGAGUGCAAUAAUAUUAUGAGUUUCACCCAGCUCUUGACGGCUGACCAUGAUAAUCU